Molecule: ribosomal RNA, 468 nt
Filed under: uncultured bacterium
Lineage: Bacteria
Description: bacterial SSU rRNA
Rfam family: Bacterial small subunit ribosomal RNA
Source: RNAcentral
AUGAACGCUGGCGGCGUGCUUAAUACAUGCAAGUCGAACGAGGAACUUUUGUCUUCGGAUGAGGGUUUCCUAGUGGCGAACGGGUGAGUAACGCGUUGGUGACCUGCCCUGAAGUGGGGGAUAACAGUCCGAAAGGACUGCUAAUACCCCAUGAUAUCAGCUCGGUUAGAGGCCUGCUGAUCAAAGGAGUAAUCCGCUUUAGGAGGGGCCUGCGUCCCAUCAGCUAGUUGGUAGGGUAAUGGCCUACCAAGGCUCUGACGGGUAGGGGACCUGAGAGGGUGGCCCCCCACACUGGCACUGAAACACGGGCCAGACACCUACGGGUGGCAGCAGUAGGGAAUUUUGGACAAUGGGCGAAAGCCUGAUCCAGCAACGCCGCGUGCACGAUGACGGCCUUCGGGUUGUAAAGUGCUUUUAGAGGAGAUGAGAAAGGACAGUAUCCUCUGAAUAAGCCUCGGCGAACUACGU